GAUCCUGGCUCAGGAUGAACGCUGCGGCAUGCCUAAUACAUGCAAGUCGAACGAGAGACCUUCGGGUCUCUAGUGGCGAACGGGUGAGUAACACGUAGGGAACCUGCCCGUGCACCGGGAAUACGCUCUGGAAACGGAGAACAAAUCCCGAUGUACAGGAAGGAGGCAUCUUCUUUCUGUGAAACAUCCUUUCGGGGGAUGGGGCGCGGAUGGACCUGCGGUGCAUUAGUUUGUUGGCGGGUAAAGGCCCACCAAGACGAUGAUGCAUAGCCGGCCUGAGAGGGCGGACGGCCACAUUGGGACUGAGACACGGCCCAGACUCCUGCGGGAGGCAGCAGUAGGGAAUUUUCGUCAAUGGGCGCAAGCCUGAACGAGCGAUGCCGCGUGAGUGAAGAAGGCCUUCGGGUCGUAAAGCUCUGUUGCGGGGGAAAAAAGGCAGCAUCAGGAAAUGGGUGCUGACUGAUGGUGCCCCGCCAGAAAGUCGCGGCUAACUACGUG
Molecule: ribosomal RNA, 498 nt
Filed under: uncultured Erysipelotrichaceae bacterium
Lineage: Bacteria; Bacillati; Bacillota; Erysipelotrichia; Erysipelotrichales; Erysipelotrichaceae
Description: bacterial SSU rRNA
Rfam family: Bacterial small subunit ribosomal RNA
Source: RNAcentral